CCCUCACUGCUGAGGAGGAGUUGCCAUUAUCAUCCCUGAUAUGGAGGCGGGGAAACGCCGAGAACAGUGUGUGCUUAGGAAGCCACAGAGCUGGAAGUAGAGCCCCAGCAGCCUGAUCCAGAGCCCUCGCUCUUCACCACCACCCUACCCUGCUCCAGGGAGUACAGUGGGGGUCCUGGAGCCUCUUUCCAUCUGUUGGGUCUUGGUGACAGGUACAAAUUAAUCUUGAAUGAAAGCCGUGGACUCCUCACCUAUCUCUUAGACAGGGUCUCACUCUGUCACCCAGGCUGGAGCUCUGUGACGUGAUCACACUGCAGUCUCAGACUCCCAGGCUCAAGCAAUCCUCCUGCCUCAGCCUCCCAAGUAGCUGGGACUACAGAUGAUAACAGCCAAGAAAGCAAAACUUGAAGUGAACACGAUGAUGAAGAGAGUAAAGAAAGGUAAAGACAGUGCUGAAGGUGGCAUUCAUAAACGUCCCAGCGCUGAAGGGAGAGGCUGUGCUUGAAGAAGAAAAAGUCUGCUAGCCAAGGAGGAGGAGGAGCUAUUUGAGGGAGAAUUCUUGCCAAUUACAGACUUAUUAUGACAGAUGAAAAGAUCGUAAUUAUACUUGGAUUCCCUGCAGAAGUGCCUUAACACAUCCAUGACAUCUAAUAACCACAUGCCUCAAUGGAGGCUGACUUUUCCAAAGUUGCUUAACCUUUCAUUUCUUUGCCGUCACACCAAAACCCAUCUAUGGGUGCUCAGAGAAAUCAAGGAGGGAGACUCCAUCAAGGCUAGGUGGCUGACAUCCCUGAUGCUUUGGGAGAGACACUCAGUCAGUGAUAGCUGAGCCUGGGUAGCUCCUUACUGGGGGUCUGAGGGGUACAGGCAGCCUGUCCAGAGGCCUGGGGCCAGGGCACCGCUCUAGAGUCCAGAUAGCUUAGGUGCCUUCGUUAGAGGCCAGGGAAAACUGGACAGGUGGGUAAGACAAGCUGGGGAGAUUUGAGCAGAUAUGGCCCUGCAGAUGGAGAACAGAAAAUACUAAAUUGAAGGGGAGAUUUCAGCAAAAGUUAUAGUCUUGUUUGGUCUAAGUUUUAACUUGGAUUGGUUUAAGAAGUGGGGGUGAUAUUAAACACUGCUGAGUCAAAAGCAUCUUUUUAAAUAAUUUCAACUUUUAUCUUAGAUAUAGGGUGUACACGUGCAGGUUUGUUAGAUGGGUGUAUCGUGUGACACUGAGGUUUGGGGUACGAAUGGUCCCAUCACCCAGGUGGUGAGCACAGCACCCAGUAGGCAGCCUUUCAGUCCUCGCGCCCCUCCUCCUCUCCUCAGUGUUUACUGUUCCCAUCUUUACGCCUGAGUGUGCCCAAGGUUUAGCUCCCAAAACGCACCUUCUCUAUGCUUCAUCCCAUAGUCCCCGUGCAGGACGGCAGGAGGAGGAAAUGUGGUUGAUUAUGACAUCUUUCCAUCUGCCAGUUUUAUGUCUAGAUUAUAACAAGGACAAUUUGUGGAAAGCUGCUGCCAAGAGACUAUAAACUGAAAGACAAGCAUUCAGUCUGAAAAAAUAUGAAGUCAUUAUCCUGGUGGCUGCUGUCCACCAAUUUGAAAGGGUUGGGAAGAAAAUUUAUUUUUGAAAAGCUCAGGUGCAAAGACACCUAAGUUCUUCCUUUAGUCUUCUUUUCCUCAAAAGAGCAGGGGCAAAGGCUUUGGGAAAAGGACUUCUGGAAAGUCACAGAAAAGGCAUCCCUGAAGGGAUAGCUAUGGGGAGCAAGACGGAGGGCAGUGUCUGCUGUGCUCCAUUGGGAGUGGCCAGGACCUCUGCAGCUCUGACCCAGCUUCGCCAUCUGAGCCAAAGAUGAGCUUGGUCUUCCUGAGAAAUCUAUUAAAUAAUAUAGUGGUUCAGUCCAAAUAGGAGCUUGGCUCUGAGUUCACCAACAAGUGUGCUUAAAUAAGGUGAAUUACACUGUGAGCUUAAGGGCUGUUAGGUGUAUUUUGCAAAGAGCUACUGGAGUGUGUGGAGGUUUCUUGAAAUCAAAAAGGUAAGAAGAGAUCAGUGA
Non-coding RNA from Macaca mulatta (Rhesus monkey), 2033 nucleotides. The record is from RefSeq and is a predicted model, not a curated record. Lineage: Eukaryota; Metazoa; Chordata; Mammalia; Primates; Cercopithecidae.